RNAcentral lists this ribosomal RNA (1753 nucleotides) under Eupezizella aureliella. Its description in RNAcentral is "eukaryotic LSU rRNA". It matches the Rfam family "Eukaryotic large subunit ribosomal RNA", at positions 66 to 1420 of the family's 3401-position model. Lineage: Eukaryota; Fungi; Ascomycota; Leotiomycetes; Helotiales; Hyaloscyphaceae. The record is from RNAcentral.
CAACAGGGAUUGCCUCAGUAACGGCGAGUGAAGCGGCAACAGCUCAAAUUUGAAAUCUGGCUCCUGCGGGGCCCGAGUUGUAAUUUGUAGAAGAUGCUUUGAGCGUGGCUCCGGUCUAAGUUCCUUGGAACAGGACGUCAUAGAGGGUGAGAAUCCCGUAUGUGACUGGGUGCCUCCGUUCGUGUAAAGCUCUUUCGACGAGUCGAGUUGUUUGGGAAUGCAGCUCAAAAUGGGUGGUAAAUUUCAUCUAAAGCUAAAUAUUGGCCAGAGACCGAUAGCGCACAAGUAGAGUGAUCGAAAGAUGAAAAGCACUUUGGAAAGAGAGUUAAACAGUACGUGAAAUUGUUGAAAGGGAAGCGCUUGCAACCAGACUUGCCCGCUGCUGAUCAUCCGAGGUUCUCCCCGGUGCACUCGGCAGCGAUCAGGCCAGCAUCGGUUCUGGUGGGCGGAUAAAGGCCUUGGGAAUGUAGCUUCCUUCGGGGAGUGUUAUAGCCCUCGGUGCAAUGCGCCCUACCGGGACCGAGGACCGCGCUUCGGCUAGGAUGCUGGCGUAAUGGUUGUAAGCGACCCGUCUUGAAACACGGACCAAGGAGUCUAACAUCUAUGCGAGUGUUUGGGUGUCAAACCCAUACGCGUAAUGAAAGUGAACGGAGGUGAGAACCCUUAAGGGUGCAUCAUCGACCGAUCCUGAUGUCUUCGGAUGGAUUUGAGUAAGAGCAUAGCUGUUGGGACCCGAAAGAUGGUGAACUAUGCCUGAAUAGGGUGAAGCCAGAGGAAACUCUGGUGGAGGCUCGCAGCGGUUCUGACGUGCAAAUCGAUCGUCAAAUUUGGGUAUAGGGGCGAAAGACUAAUCGAACCAUCACUACUAGGUGGUUAAGAGGUGGUUUACCCACCUAGUCCUCGAUAAAAGGGCCACACUAUCAAAUUGUUCGGGGACGUCCUGCUAAAUUCUAAGCUACCGCAGCUCUCUCGAAAGAGGGGCGAGCACCGGGUUAAUGGCCCAGGGGAUGGUAAUAACGCUUAGAUAGGGAUUAUCCGCAGCCAAGUCCUAAGGGUGCCGCAGCGCCUACGGAUGCAGUCCACAGACUAAAUGUUAGUGGGCCCCGCACUGUGCGGGGUUUAAGUUAUAGUCGGACCACCGAGAGAUCGGUCGGUCGGGACAGGAUUACUUCGGGGUUAUCACCGGCUAUAAGGGCGGUCCCGGAGUAUGAAAGCCCGCUGAGAAACCCGCUGUGGUUUUUGGGGGAGCCCUAUCCGCAAGGGUGGGGUUCCGAUCGCUAGUAGCUGGUUCCUGCCGAAGUUUCCCUCAGGAUAGCAGUGUUGAAUUCAGUUUUAUGAGGUAAAGCGAAUGAUUAGAGGCCUUGGGGUUGCAACAACCUUAACCUAUUCUCAAACUUUAAAUAUGUAAGAAGUCCUUGUUGCUUAAUUGAACGUGGACAUUCGAAUGUACCAACACUAGUGGGCCAUUUUUGGUAAGCAGAACUGGCGAUGCGGGAUGAACCGAACGCGGAGUUAAGGUGCCGGAAUAUACGCUCAUCAGACACCACAAAAGGUGUUAGUUCAUCUAGACAGCAGGACGGUGGCCAUGGAAGUCGGAAUCCGCUAAGGAAUGUGUAACAACUCACCUGCCGAAUGAACUAGCCCUGAAAAUGGAUGGCGCUUAAGCGUAUUACCCAUACUCCGCCGCCAGGGUAGAAACGAUGCCCUGGCGAGUAGGCAGGCGUGGGGGUCAGUGACGAAGCCUUGGGCGGAG